This 718-nucleotide unclassified non-coding RNA is filed under the name uncultured Cortinarius. Its description in RNAcentral is "sequence contains ITS1, 5.8S rRNA gene and ITS2". The stretch from base 212 to 365 matches the Rfam family "5.8S ribosomal RNA". The record is from RNAcentral. Lineage: Eukaryota; Fungi; Basidiomycota; Agaricomycetes; Agaricales; Cortinariaceae.
AAGUCGUAACAAGGUUUCCGUAGGUGAACCUGCGGAAGGAUCAUUAUUGAAAUAAACCUGAUGGGUUGUUGCUGGUUCUCUAGGGAGCAUGUGCACGCCCUUGUCAUCUUUAUAUCUCCACCUGUGCACUUUUUGUAGCCCUUUCAGGGUCUAUGUUGCUUCAUUUACCCCAAUGUAUGUUAAUAGAAUGUUGUGCCUAUAUAAUAUAUACAACUUUCAGCAACGGAUCUCUUGGCUCUCGCAUCGAUGAAGAACGCAGCGAAAUGCGAUAAGUAAUGCGAAUUGCAGAAUUCAGUGAAUCAUCGAAUCUUUGAACGCACCUUGCGCUCCUUGGUAUUCCGAGGAGCAUGCCUGUUUGAGUGUCAUUAAUAUAUAUAUCAAACUUCUCUUGUUGAGUGGUUUGGAUGUGUGGGGGUUUGCUGGCAUCUUAAAAAAGGUUCAGCUCCCCUGAAAUGCAUUAGCAGAACAACCUGUUCAUUGGCGUGGUAACUAUCUACGCUAUUGAAUGUGAGGGGCAGUUCAGCUUUCUAACAGUCCUUGGACAAAUCAUCAUUAAUGUGACCUCAAAUCAGGUAGGACUACCCGCUGAACUUAAGCAUAUCAAUAAGCGGAGGAAAAGAAACUAACAAGGAUUCCCCUAGUAACUGCGAGUGAAGCGGGAAAAGCUCAAAUUUAAAAUCUGGCGGUCUUUUGGCUGUCCGAGUUGUAAUCUAGAGAA